UACGUAGGGGGCAAGCGUUGUCCGGAUUUAUUGGGCGUAAAGAGCGUGUAGGCGGCCAGACAGGUCCGUUGUGAAAACUCGAGGCUCAACCUCGAGAUGUCGAUGGAAACCGUCUGGCUAGAGUCCGGAAGAGGAGUGUGGAAUUCCUGGUGUAGCGGUGAAAUGCGCAGAUAUCGGGAGGAACACCAGUGGCGAAGGCGGCGCUCUGGGCCGGAACUGACGCUGAGGAGCGAAAGCGUGGGUAGCAAACAGG
This 253-nucleotide ribosomal RNA is filed under the name uncultured bacterium. Its description in RNAcentral is "partial 16S ribosomal RNA". It matches the Rfam family "Bacterial small subunit ribosomal RNA", at positions 524 to 776 of the family's 1533-position model. The record is from RNAcentral.